Molecule: transfer RNA, 76 nt
Filed under: Candidatus Sumerlaeia bacterium
Lineage: Bacteria; Candidatus Sumerlaeota; Candidatus Sumerlaeia
Description: tRNA-Gly
Rfam family: tRNA
About the family: Transfer RNA (tRNA) molecules are approximately 80 nucleotides in length. Their secondary structure includes four short double-helical elements and three loops (D, anti-codon, and T loops). Further hydrogen bonds mediate the characteristic L-shaped molecular structure. tRNAs have two regions of fundamental functional importance: the anti-codon, which is responsible for specific mRNA codon recognition, and the 3' end, to which the tRNAs corresponding amino acid is attached (by aminoacyl-tRNA synthetases). tRNAs cope with the degeneracy of the genetic code in two manners: having more than one tRNA (with a specific anti-codon) for a particular amino acid; and 'wobble' base-pairing, i.e. permitting non-standard base-pairing at the 3rd anti-codon position.
Source: RNAcentral
GCGGGACUAGCUCAGUUGGUAGAGCAACGGCUUCCCAAGCCGUGGGUCGCGGGUUCGAGUCCCGUGUCCCGCUCCA